GGCACGGCGUAGCAUGGCACGGCGUGGCUCGGCACGGCUCGGCUCGGCACGGAACGGCCCGGCAUGACGUGGCGUGGCGUGGCGUGGCGUGGCGUGGCACGGCACAGCACGGCCGGGAGCCGCACCCUCCGCGCGGGCAGGGCUCUCGCCUCGGCCUGCACGCCCGCUGCGGGCUGCUGCUGCGCCUACCGCGGGAGGCUGGGCUCGCUGCCCAGUAGCCGCCAGCGGCUCUGCACGGCCCUCGCCGACCUGAGGCGCGGAUUCCGCCGCUUCAGCACCGUGCCCGGAUGAGAGCUGGAGGCCGGCGACGGGCGGGUCCCGGGCCGCGCUGACGCCGCCGUGCCUGGCGGGCCCCCCACGCGCCGCCCGGUCGCCCGGCCCCGGUGUCGCCGCGGCCCCCGGUGGCGGUAGGCGCGGAGCCCGGCGGCGCGUCCCCGCGCACGGCCCGCUUGUCCCGGGGGCCGCCGCCUGACGUCUCGCCUCUCUCCCGGCAGACCGGGCGGCUCGUAGGCGGGGGGAGGCGGAGAGAGGCGCCGCGGGAGCGAUGGGCCCCGGGCCGGUGUCCUGGUUCCUCCUGCCUUAGAGCUUUCCCCCGGGACAGCUCGGCUGUUGCUUGAGACCCGAGACGCUUCUUAGAUGACUGGCUUACCUUUUGUAAGGGAAAGCGAGCGGUGCUUGUACAGUAGCUUUGAUGAAAAGACCAAGAUUUGAACAGAACACAGACAUUGCAUUUACCUUAGUUAGGGCUCUUUGGCCUAGCGCUGCCCAUAAACAGGCGAAAUGAAAUUUCCUACAGCAUGCAGGCACCUGCUGAUAUCUGGCAAUUUUCUUCCUUGCAGAGUGACGCAGAAGCAGCAUGCGAGACCUUUCCUGGUGCUGUGCUCAACACCACGUUUCCAAGACACUGUGCAGUGAGACAGCAGGGAGAUUGAUAGCCUCCAAAAGGAACUCUGUGAACCUCAGAGCUAUUGUCCAACGCACCAUCAGGACUUCAAAGUAGAGCUGCUGCAAUUUCACGCCAAGAGCAAGUCAUGGACUAUGGAGCGAAGGAAGCAGGACCAGAUCACUCACCUCAUGAAACGGGCUCCCCAGUAAUGGAAAGGAUUGUCAUCGCUGUUGAUUGGAACAGAAGAGGAAACGGAAAUUAUCCUCCUGCAGAUACAGUAGGGAUCCUCCUUUCCACCAAAGAGAGGAACAACUAAUGAGGAAACAGCACCAGUAUGGUGAAUGGAUUUCUUGUUUCACAGAGGAUCCUGCGUGCACCUCACACACCAUCUAUGCUAAGACAUAACAUAGACGUGGCCUGCCAUGUGUCCAAACCUGCUGAAUGAAUUCUUAAUACGUUAGAGGAAAAACUUCCAUGCACUGCAUCAGGUCCUUCGUAGCCUGAAAGCAAUAUGAAGAUGAACUGCGAUGGUUCCAAUGAAUUUCAAGAACAUGAGAUUUGGUGCUAGUAUUUUCAAUGAAGCAGUUGGAUGGUAAUCUGCACUGCAAGGACCAGAAGAUUUAGACUCAUGAAUGAUAAAACAAAAAUGAAAAGCAAAUUAAGGGAAUGUUCCAGGGAGGGGAGGAGGGGGGAGCGGAGAGGGGAGGAAAUGUACAGAUCUGUACUGGUCAUGCUGCCUGUAAUGUACUGGGAGGAAGAGCGAGUUCCUACAGCUGCUGUAAAAGCAGUUGCUCUCUUUGGCUGAUGAUUCUCAGUGUAACUGUCAAAACCACACAACCUCCAUGAGGAUGAAAUAAUGAUGAAACAGGCAAUGCAAGAGGAAAGAUGGUUCACUCCAGAGUUAGAGUGCAAGUUCUGUCUUCAUGGGAUUCAGUCGAAAGGAACUGCGGCUCUGUAAUAACAUUGGCUCUGGUUCUGUAAGGUAACUGCCCACUUGACCGUGACAGACUGCUUUACUGAACGUUUCCUCAGCUCUUUUGAAGCGACAGCCCAUCACUCAUACAUGCGCAGGGCUGAUGCCCUCCAACCAGUUGCUGAGGAGCAAACCCUCUUUAGAUGCUAGGAAAAGAGUGCGAUCACAUGAAUGUGACUGCAUAGGUCUGGACUAAAAAAAUUUGCAUGCAAAUUGACUUCCUUGAUGAGUUUGGGCAACUCUGUGCCUCCAGAUCCCGUGUGUAAAUGGUAACAGUUCUCAGGAGCUUGUGUUCAAGUGAGUGUGUUUAAGUACUUAAGUGAUGAUAUACAGCCCAGGUACUGCUUAGCCUUGCGAAGAGAAUUGUGCUUACUGCAGUAGGUGUUGGCAAGAUGCUAUGGACAAAUCUGCCAGAGCAAGAAGGAAAGGACCAAGGUGUCCAAUUUUUGCAUGUGUUUAAGCCCUAUGCAACUUUGAUGCACAAGGUUAACACUUCGGUUUUGGCUAAAACAAAAUACUGGCAAAGAUCUGUCAAGAAUUCACUUACUAUGAGCCUUAGUCACAUAUCUAUUUCAUCACAGGACCUGCUGACAUCACUAACCCAAAAAUCAGCCAGGACCUAUCUGAACCUGCAAAGAGCAACAAAGAUAAUGGAAACCAUGGAAGUGGUGCUAAAAGCUGAGGAAAUCAGAUCAGAGCUGAUCACUGUUUCUGCAGCUGUUUGAGAAGGUCAAAGGCCUGGACCUUCCACAGAAUUAGAGGAACUGAUUCCUGAGAUAUUAUACAUUACGCUGGUAAAUGACCCCCACAGGUCAGAGGUGGCCUAUACAAUUUCAAAUGGAAAGAGUGGUGAAAGCUCUGUUUGUGAGAGAUUGGUAAUUAACCAACUCUCUGAGGCCUGUAAUGAGGUUACAGCGCUCCUCCGCAUGUGUGCGGGGAGGGUGAAUAACCAAAUAACCUUGUACGUCAUGGGUCCCAUGCAGAGACACGUACAAGUAUGCAGAAAUCGAGAAAGACUAUUCCACUGCAGUCACAGGCUGUGCUGGCUACUGAAGUGUAAUGACUUGGCCAGCUCUUCACCAGAUGUUGAGCUAGGGUUCCUCCACCUGGCCACUUGCCAAGGCAACCCGAAAACACUGCUACAGCAUUCAGCUUUAACAUGGAAGGAAGAAUUUUCCCUUUCCUUUUUUAUCUACUGCAGAGCAUAAUUCAAAGCUGAGUUAAUGAAUAAUUUCCGUGGGCUUUGGGUGAAUAUUUAUAAUCACAGACUCAGAAAAAGAGUCUGGAAAGGAACUUGAAAAGAUCCUCUACACUAUUCUCUUGUACCAAGCUGGACUGGCCUGUCUAGAGCUGUUCUUAAAGAUGCCCAGUACAUAUGAUCUCUUCUUUUUUCUUCCCUCUCCACAAAAGUUGUUACCCUGUUGUAGAAGAAAUUGUAUUGGUCCUUGACAAAUCCAUCUGGGAGACAAAUAGCAAGCCUAUUAUUUUUGACACACUGACAGACAGUUUAUGCGUUCCAAAUUUUUCCUAGAGCUUGAAGUUAAGAUUACUUGCUUAUAGUCUUUCCUUUCUCAAGGCACACACACUGUUUUCUCUUCUCCAGGCUUUUCUCCUGUGAGAUGCUGGCUAUCAAUUCACUGAGUUUGGUGAAAUCUGUCUUUGCUUAGGAAAAGCAUAAAACCAGCAAAAUAGAAACAGCAGACUAAGGAUCACAGACUGACAACCACUACCAUCCAAAUUGUCCUUUAUGUUAAUAUUCUCAAAAAGCUGUACCUGUCAGCUACAAUCAGGUCUAGUGGAGCUUCCUCUCCUGUGGUUGUCAUCAUCUUCUGUACCAAGACAUUCAGUAACAUGUUCCACAAACUUCCCACACCACCAGUACUCCUGUAAUGAGGGAUGCCUGGGCAGCUGUAAUCUCCCACUGCUGUGCACUGGAUGAUUCUGCUUGGGUUUACUGGCAGGCAGCCUGGAACAUCAACGGCAGUGCCCAGUUUUCUUCCCUUUUAACAAUCACUCAAAUUUGUUUAGAAAAGAUCCUCCUACAAUCUCAAAGCAAGUAUACAAAUCCACGACAUAGAAGGCAACAUCUCUUCUUCUUCGUCUGCCAGUUAUUCCUCACAAGUUGCACACUACUGUAUUAAUAUUCCAGCCAUAGAAAUCAUCCAAACAGGUCUCUACUGUGCCACAGUUAUAAUUUGGAUCACAAUUAAAACCUUUCAGAUCCACUUGUUUAUUCUUAUAAUUUCUCACAAAAACAUAGAUAGAGAAGUUCACUGGACCAAGUCACUUCUUGGUUUUUUUAUGUCUUCAUUAUAAGUAAACCUCUUUGCCCCUAGUUUUUCUUCAGUUUAACUACUCUGUUUCCUCCUGAAUGGGAACUGCAAACAAUUCACUACAAAGUUAAAAAGGCUGCGUCCCAUCCACCAUUUUCCUUAAACUUCUCCAACCACUAGACUUUGAUUAGACUUUGAGCCAUAGUGAGAAUGAUUUUUCUCUCCUCCUUAAGCAUGAAGAGCCUCCAGUGUUUGUGGACAACUUGUUCACAUUCAGAAGAAUUCUGUCACAGCAGCUCCCUGCAGUAAGCAGAAGAACUAUUUCUUUUCAAAACCCAAGAAUUGGAUUGUGAAUACUCAAUGUGUUUGCACAGUUAUUACCCUUUCUGUUGGGCUUUCCGGGCAGAUGGGGUAGGUGUCUCUACUUGUGCAAACAAUCGACCUACAAAAGGUUUGCCUCAUUUUCAUGUACUAAUGUUUGAUGUGCAUGUUGGACUGUUCCUUUUUUGCAUUGGUUAAUUUGACCUUACGAUGCAAACUAAAAAGAAGGAUCUGUUCAAAAAGAAGCACAGCUGCCUAAAUGUCGAGUGGGCUCUCAGAAGUGCCACCCUUAGAGUGGAUACAGUCAAACAGCUCAAUCAAGGCUGAGCCAGCAACAGGUAAGAUACUGAAAUAAGAGCCUUCACAACAAAGUCCAUAGGAAGAAGCCAGAAGCUCGCUCAUCCCUCCUGCAGACCAAAGAAGCACCAAGGGAAUUUAUUCAAAAGCCAAUCAGCAUCUGUCCCCUCCAGGAACACUCCCGCUGUUUAAGACUUUCUUUUAUCAAAGUACACCUCUGUGGAUGCUCCUCACUGAGCAAUCACAGCUUUGCCCUCAGGGCGAGGAUGUGGCAUGAAUUAAUAAACAAAGUCUUCCACAACCCCUUUCAAAA
Molecule: long non-coding RNA, 5063 nt
Organism: Grus americana (Whooping crane)
Lineage: Eukaryota; Metazoa; Chordata; Aves; Gruiformes; Gruidae
Exons: 4
Source: RefSeq, a predicted model, not a curated record